UUUCCGUAGGUGAACCUGCGGAAGGAUCAUUAAAAAUGAAGCCGGGAAACCGGUCCUUCUAACCCUUGAUUAUCUUAAUUUGUUGCUUCGGUGGGCCGCGCAAGCACCGGCUUCGGCUGGAUCGUGCCCGCCAGAGGACACAACUCUGUAUCAAAUGUCGUCUGAGUACUAUAAAAUAGUUAAAACUUUCAACAACGGAUCUCUUGGUUCUG
This 212-nucleotide unclassified non-coding RNA is filed under the name plant metagenome. RNAcentral describes it as "partial contains small subunit ribosomal RNA, internal transcribed spacer 1, and 5.8S ribosomal RNA". The record is from RNAcentral.